Brassica oleracea var. oleracea is the source of this 1143-nucleotide long non-coding RNA. RefSeq lists it as uncharacterized. Lineage: Eukaryota; Viridiplantae; Streptophyta; Magnoliopsida; Brassicales; Brassicaceae. The record is from RefSeq and is a predicted model, not a curated record. The transcript has 3 exons.
CGUCCAUCGGCUCCUUCUUUGUCUCCUACAGAGAAAAGAGAAAGCUUUGUUCGUCAAGUUGGAGUCUCCAUUCUAUGAUUUCAAAUCCAAUUUUGAUUUCACCUUCUCAAAUACACUUUAUAAACUGCCCCAAUUCCACCUUCUCCAAGUUUAUUCUCGAUUGAAAAUUGAUGUGUGGCAUCUUGUAACUUAGUGAAAUCAAAUCUCAUGGAAUCUGUGUGAUUGGGAGAUCGUCCGGGACAAGAAAAAUUCCCUGGAGAUCGCAACGAUUGGGAGAAACCAAUAAGGGGUUUACUAGAAGGGCUUAAAGGCAAAGCAUCCGUGACUGGUAGGAGAAUGAAGAACUUUGGUGUGAGAGAAACAAGUGGGACAUCGUUUGUACGGUAUGGUCCAGUGCACGGCGGAUAUAUCGCUCGUAUUGUUUGUCACAGGGUAUUGCAAAGAUUUCGAGCUGUUGUAAUAUGAAAUGGGUAGUUAUGUGUUCUCCUACCUGUAUGGUGGCUUAUACUCCAUGGAGAUUCUAUGAUCCAGUGGACACCACUAAUGAGCCAAGCUCAUGCCUGCUACCCCGGGGAAUGAGGCGAGAAGUGUCGCACAAGGGGAUAGAAAAAGAUGUGUACCAAAAGCUUUGAUCUUUGCGGCUGUUUUAGCUGUUGUUGGUGUCUUAUUUAUCAUAUUCUUAGUCUUUUCCUAAGGUCUAGGAAGAGGAAAAUAUGAGGAGGACAUAUAAAGAAGAACGAAACCUUGAAGACAUUAGCACAGAUUCCAUGAGAUUUGAUUUCACUACGUUACAAUAUGCCACAAGUCAAUUUUCAAUCGAGAAUAAACUUGGAGAAAGUGGAUUUGGGGCAGUUUAUAAAGUGUAUUUGAGAAGGUGAAAUCGAAAUUGGAUUUGAAAGCAUAGAAUUGGAGAUUCCAACUUGACAAACAAAGCUUUCUAUUUUCUCUAUAAGAGACGAAGAAGGAGCCGAUGGACGCGUUGACAAAACACUCGUUCUCUUUUUUGCUAACGGCCACAACCUUUUUUCUUUCCUUUUUUUUUGUUUUUUUUUAUUUUGUUUCCACUUUUUAUUAAUUCUACAUGGCAAAAUGAUUAGUGUCAAGAGUCGAGGUGAAUUAAAGAGUUCACUAGAACCCAAGAUU